Long non-coding RNA from Haliaeetus leucocephalus (bald eagle), 2473 nucleotides. RefSeq lists it as uncharacterized. The record is from RefSeq and is a predicted model, not a curated record. NCBI's taxonomy places the organism in Eukaryota, Metazoa, Chordata, Aves, Accipitriformes, Accipitridae. The transcript has 3 exons.
CUAGUCCACAUUUUACUAACUUACUGUUCUUCCAAAUGAAUGUGAGAUCCCUAUCAGUCAUAAACAAUAAAAUCCUGAAAACUGGUAUUCAGUGGCCUAUGGCUUGCGAAGACCUGUAAAUAUUGCUUUUGAUUCUUUCAGAAGCGAGCAUGCAAGCCGUUAGAAACCAUUCCAAAUGAGGCUGAUGCUCGCCUCAUUGACUGUGCCAUGGAGCUGGAUUCUAAACAGAAAAUCUCCGCUGACUGUGAUCCCUGGGCUACAAAGACAAAGCAAAAUUCAAUGAUUUUUGAAAACCAUGGAAGCAGAGGUACUGCCCAGCCUUGCCCAAGAUGUAUUGCUGGAGAAUCUGGACACUUCAGUCAUAUCCUGGGCUUCUAGAAAUUGAGAGACGGCAAGUCAGCAGCACUGCUUUUCUGUUUACAUUCUAAACAUGCACCUGUGAACCCUGUACAGCUGGAUAUCUGUACAUUCACUCACGGCGUGGAUUUGUAUGUGGUAUUCAGCAUAUAGCAGUUUGCUGUAUGUGUUACUCUUUUAGUGCACAAUGAUGGAUAUCAUUGUUUUUACACUUGAAAAAAUGCUUCUGCUUUUAAGGUAGCUCGAUAUAUGUUUAAAAAAAAUUUGAUUUAAUGUUUUAGGCUAGUUAAGUUGAUCUGGCCUUUGGCCCAGUCUUCACCUUGGACUGGGCCGAAGGUCAUGUUGAUACAAGAGAUUUUCCUGUCUCUCUUGGGCACUUUCUCUGAUACUCUUGGAAAACGGUCCUUGCAUUUACAUGUGUACAGGGCCUGCAGUUUUAGCUCAGCCCUAUAUAUGCAGGCAGAUAUGGGAGGACAGAAGUGUCUUCAUUUUUAGAUGGCUAUUCAGCUUUGCAGCUGUGAAGGCCAGUAAAAAUCCUGUUGAAACUUAUGUUUAAAUCCAAAAUAUGCAUCCAAUUCAGAUAUCUUACAUGUUAUACUUCUACUUUGUUUAUAACAAGCAGUUUGUGAAUGUGGUAAGUAACUAAUAGAAAAAAGAGUAUUAUUUGAACAACCCUCUAUAAAGUGAAGAUGAAUAGUAAUUUGGAGUCCUCAAAAAGUUGUUAAGAUACCAUCUGACACUCCCUGACUCUGUCUUUCCAGUUAUUGUGAUAUUAGAACAAAUCUGUUUAAAAAGUCUUGAAGUUGUCAUCUAGCAUAAUUUUAUUGGUUUGUCACAAAUAAUUUCAUCUACAUUUUGCCAGUAUGUAGGACUAUGUAAUUUUUAAACACAUUCAGAUUUUUAGACUCUUAGGUAGCUGAGUUGUGCUAUUUGGGUGUAACACUUCACUGGCUGCUCUGGUUUAGGCAGAAGGGUCCUGAAAGCUUAGAACUGAAUGGCAGCGUGUUAACCCUCUGCACCGGAGGGAAAUUGCUGUGACCUGCCAAAGUUCACAAAGCAAGCAAUCUCCACUGUCUGGAGAACUGCUGAGCUAUAACUCUGCCCUGCUGCCACUCAGCUCUCAGGCAGAGUUCAACCCAAAACAGAUACGGCAGGCAUAACAGCAUUUGGCCUCUCCUGUUCUGAGAGCAACCAGUAGCCAGUUUAAAUUAAAAUGGUAGCUCUGAAGUUGCAAAAAUCUAGUGACAGGCUUUUAAAGGUUAGUUUCCCAGUGGGUUUUAUCAGACUGCAAAAUCCUUAGACAAAGGUUCUUCAGAGUCCUAAAAUGCUUCCCAUAUUGUGCGUGAAGUUGUAGCUGGCACUGAGUUGACUGCUAUUAAGGAGAUUCUUCCUAAAUGUAUGACUAUCAUAUAAAUACUGAAUUCAAUUAAGUAAUAGAUAAGGAAAUAAGUCUAUAAAGCAGACCUGCACUAAAUUGGCAUAUAGACUAUUUGGUUAGGAAGGAAUAAGUUUCCUCCACGCCAAUAUAAAUUUUAGUUACAUCAAAAAUAAGUAUUUUCAAAGAGAAAUUUUUCAGACACUUCAAAAUUUUCUUCAAUCACAAGAACAGUACAAUCCCUUAAAAGAUCAAAUCUCCAAGAAGCACAGCGGUUUUAAAAAUUGUAUUGUCCCUGUCACCUUGAAGAUCUGAAACUCAUCUUGAAUCCUCCCACUCCCAAUGCAGGUUGAUGCAAGCAAUAGCAUCUAUCCAAGCUAGAAAGGAACAUGUCCUCACUUGAAAUGACAGAAUGAUGAGCAAAUUCCUGCAUACUGAUAUCAGAGUUUAUCAAUUAGUGCAAAAUAAGAAACAAAAAUGUUUCCUAAAGACUGAAAUUACAUAUCUGUUACCAAGAUAACUAGAUCAUAUUUUGUGGGCAGUUCAUUUUCACAACAUUUUCCAACCCUUGUUUUUUAAAAAUCCUGCUAACAAUGGCAGUCAAAAAAAAGAUGGCUAAGCAUCAGUCCCUGUGCUGUAAAAGUUGAAAUAAAGUAAAAGGCUAAACGGUAUCUGAAGGUUUAGUUACUGCAAAAUGACUCAAAACCUGUUAUGCUUUAUCAAGUAAAAUGUAUGACAAGU